UGACGUGGAAAAGAAGGGAAAACGGUGGUGCUCAAAGGGAACAGGAAAAGCGUACGUGGCCACUGGCUUGAGCCUUGAAGCUAGAAGACGACAAAAAUGAUUUGUUGGUCUAUCUAUUUCUUAAAAGAGCAAAGUACGUUAUGAGUAUGACAAUUGACAACACUUUGCUGUUCCUUUCACUGUCUCUAUAAGCCACCUUUUGUCCCAGGUACGUACUCGUCAAAACUAUGCUUUCUAAGAGUUAGAUUUUUAUUUGCUGAAUUGCCUUUUUGUUUACGAUCCAAUAAAACUUGAUAUAUCUGUGUCAAGUCUGAUCGAUGUUUCAUCCUCUUUUUUUUCCAGGUAUCAUCAUCAUGUGCUAGCCUUCAUCACAUUAAUGCUAACUCUCUCAAAUUCCAGUCUAGCUUCGGAGAAUAUGCUGCCUCCUCACUCCAUUUUUCCUCUCUACAGUUUGAUAUGAAGGAAUUACAUUCGGGUCACCGGCCAACCCGGAUCCAUAUAAAAAACAAAUAUAUCUAAUUUAAGUUAAAAAGGAAAGGACAUAACUGUUAGAGAAAGUACCGGUUCUGCAGGAAAGAACUUCUCACUUCUGAAAAAAAAAAAAAACUUUCCUUCCUUUAUUCCAAAAUAGAAAAAAACUCCUUCUUUCUCCGUGAAGAACUAACUACGGUGAUAGAUUCAUCAGAAGGACAAAAGCAAUCUUCACCGAAUACUGAAAUAAUCUUUUGUAAUAGAACAUCUGGAGAUAACAGCAUUCAACCCACUAGAGCUACUGCAACCCAAUUGCCAAAAUCACGGAUUGACAGUGGGAACACCAGGAUCGGAAGUAAUGGUAUAUACGCUGCUUUAGUUUUAAUUUCAUUCUUGUGAAUGAAUCGCGAGGCUGGCUAUGGACGGUUUCAGAAGAGGUAGAGGUAGGCCGAAGAAGUAUUGGGGAGAGG
Lycium ferocissimum is the source of this 941-nucleotide long non-coding RNA. RefSeq lists it as uncharacterized. The record is from RefSeq and is a predicted model, not a curated record. The transcript is spliced from 3 exons. Lineage: Eukaryota; Viridiplantae; Streptophyta; Magnoliopsida; Solanales; Solanaceae.